RNAcentral lists this ribosomal RNA (468 nucleotides) under uncultured bacterium. RNAcentral describes it as "partial 16S ribosomal RNA". It matches the Rfam family "Bacterial small subunit ribosomal RNA", at positions 28 to 507 of the family's 1533-position model. The record is from RNAcentral.
GACGAACGCUGGCGGCGUGCUUAACACAUGCAAGUCGAACGGAAAGGCCCUGCUUUUGUGGGGUGCUCGAGUGGCGAACGGGUGAGUAACACGUGAGUAACCUGCCCUUGACUUUGGGAUAACUUCAGGAAACUGGGGCUAAUACCGGAUAGGAGCUCCUGCUGCAUGGAGGGGGUUGGAAAGUUUCGGCGGUUGGGGAUGGACUGGCGGCUUAUCAGCUUGUUGGUGGGGUAGUGGCUUACCAAGGGUUUGGCGGGUAGCCGGCCUGGGUGGGUGACCGGCCCCAUUGGUCCUGAGAUACGGCCCAGACUCCAACGGGAGGCAGCAGUGGGGAAUAUUGCACAAUGGGCGGAAGCCUGAUGCAGCAACGCCGCGUGCGUGAUGACGGCCUUCGGGUUGUAAACCGCUUUCGCCUGUGACGAAGCGUGAGUGACGGUAAUGGGUAAAGAAGCACCGGCUAACUACGUG